RNAcentral lists this ribosomal RNA (279 nucleotides) under uncultured bacterium. RNAcentral describes it as "partial 16S ribosomal RNA". It matches the Rfam family "Bacterial small subunit ribosomal RNA", at positions 506 to 784 of the family's 1533-position model. The record is from RNAcentral.
UGCCAGCAGCCGCGGUAAUACAGAGGGUGCAAACGUUGUUCGGAAUCACUGGGCAUAAAGCGCACGUAGGCGGCUUGGUAAGUGUGAAGUGAAAUCCCACGGCUCACCCGUGGAACUGCUUUGCAUACUGCCAGGCUUGAGGACGGUAGGGGAGAGCGGAACUCUUGGAGGAGCGGUGAAAUGCGUAGAUAUCAAGAGGAACACCAAUGGCGAAGGCAGCUCUCUGGUCCGUUUCUGACGCUGAGGUGCGAAAGCUAGGGUAGCGAACGGGAUUAGAUA